Molecule: ribosomal RNA, 497 nt
Filed under: uncultured bacterium
Lineage: Bacteria
Description: partial 16S ribosomal RNA
Rfam family: Bacterial small subunit ribosomal RNA
Source: RNAcentral
GAUGAACGCUGGCGGCGUGCCUAAUACAUGCAAGUCGAGCGAACAGACGAGGAGCUUGCUCCUCUGACGUUAGCGGCGGACGGGUGAGUAACACGUGGAUAACCUACCUAUAAGACUGGGAUAACUUCGGGAAACCGGAGCUAAUACCGGAUAAUAUAUUGAACCGCAUGGUUCAAUAGUGGAAGACGGUUUUGCUGUCACUUAUAGAUGGAUCCGCGCCGCAUUAGCUAGUUGGUAAGGUAACGGCUUACCAAGGCGACGAUGCGUAGCCGACCUGAGAGGGUGAUCGGCCACACUGGAACUGAGACACGGUCCAGACUCCUACGGGAGGCAGCAGUAGGGAAUCUUCCGCAAUGGGCGAAAGCCUGACGGAGCAACGCCGCGUGAGUGAUGAAGGUCUUCGGAUCGUAAAACUCUGUUAUUAGGGAAGAACAAAUGUGUAAGUAACUAUGCACGUCUUGACGGUACCUAAUCAGAAAGCCACGGCUAACUACGUG